Molecule: long non-coding RNA, 992 nt
Organism: Quercus robur (English oak)
Lineage: Eukaryota; Viridiplantae; Streptophyta; Magnoliopsida; Fagales; Fagaceae
Exons: 4
Source: RefSeq, a predicted model, not a curated record
UUAUAUAAUAUUCUCGGUUCUAGACAAAAUAAGAGAGAUAUCAAAUCUACAAGGAGCUAUCUAUUUAAUGUACCAAAUCUUACCUUCGCUUCAAUCUAUCUAUAAAUGGAAAUCCAAAGGGUGGUUUCCGAUUCUAAGAGAUGAGCUAUGUAAUGGAAUCAAUUACACCUCGUGUGCUCUUCAUGGUUGAUAUGCAUAAAGGGAUGACAAAAAUCACCCACCUUAUUCUGAGCAGACUUUUUCCGCUUUUCUAGAGGUUUACUAUGGUCGAACACUUUUGAUAUAUGAAGGAACAGGCAUUACAAAUCUCUCAAGAACUAGUAGAAGAACCACCUCCAAAGUGCGUUGGAAAUCUUAGAAGCUCUUGUUGCUGAUAUUGUUGCUGUUGUUGAGUUGGUAUGGGAGAUGAAGAUGAAGAUGAUGAAGAUGUGGUAGUUGAUGAAGUUUGUGAUGCAAAUCUUUCUUGCCCAUAGAGACUUGGCACAUUAACAUAAUACUGGGAUGUGAUUAUUGGAUUUCCAUGCACUUGAACUGGGUUUUGAUCAGUGUUACUAAUAACUUGAGCUAGGGCUGAGACCAUGGCAGACAUAUCUUGUUGGGAUCGAGCUGAGUAGACAGGAAACAUAUGAUCCUCCUCCUUCUCUUCCGCUUCAUUGGAAGGAAAGGGCCUCUUCCCGUGUUGUCGAUCCAGCACUUUCAGCUUGAUGAUGCCUAGCUUGUUGUGUUUGUUGUGCUAAAUCAUGCAGUUAAUAUAAAUUUCACUAGGGCUAUACUUGUUACGUUGAUGCGGGUGCUAAAUCAACAAAAGAAGAAGUGAUUUGAUGAACAAAAUAUGUAGCAGAAGAUGGAAAGAAGGAAGAGGAGAAGAAACAAGAUUGAAGACUAGAAAUAUAGGGUUUACUAUACAGAGAUUUUUUAUACCCGCAGGUUCAACUUCUUGGCGUGAGGUUUGAGAGAUGAGUGGAGAAAGAGUUCGGUCUAACUUUUGACUU